The sequence is a transfer RNA, 72 nucleotides long. It matches the Rfam family "tRNA". From Rfam's summary of the family: Transfer RNA (tRNA) molecules are approximately 80 nucleotides in length. Their secondary structure includes four short double-helical elements and three loops (D, anti-codon, and T loops). Further hydrogen bonds mediate the characteristic L-shaped molecular structure. tRNAs have two regions of fundamental functional importance: the anti-codon, which is responsible for specific mRNA codon recognition, and the 3' end, to which the tRNAs corresponding amino acid is attached (by aminoacyl-tRNA synthetases). tRNAs cope with the degeneracy of the genetic code in two manners: having more than one tRNA (with a specific anti-codon) for a particular amino acid; and 'wobble' base-pairing, i.e. permitting non-standard base-pairing at the 3rd anti-codon position. The record is from Rfam.
GUCUGUAUGGUGUAAUGGAUAGCACCUUGAGCUUCUAACUCAAUGAUCCGAGUUCGAUCCUCGGUACAGAUA